This 450-nucleotide long non-coding RNA is filed under the name Nicotiana tabacum (common tobacco). RNAcentral's name for it is "long non-coding RNA (NTAB_LNC003072)". The record is from RNAcentral. Lineage: Eukaryota; Viridiplantae; Streptophyta; Magnoliopsida; Solanales; Solanaceae.
UGAAAGGCAUGUGCUCAGUGGUACUUUGCCAUACCUGUUUCCUUGAGGCAGUUAGUUCUUGUUAUGUUCAAGGUGUUUAUCUCAUGAUUGCUUUUCGAGAUGUUGAUUUUGGGACCUCAACAAGACUUGCGGAUUCAUUUAAAUCUGCAUCAAAUUUUUUAAAAGAGAGCUAAGGAGAUUAGCAACUUAAUUAAAAGGGGAUGAAAGACAAAUAGAUGUUGAUUUUGGGACCUCAACAAGACUUGCGGAUUCAUUUAAAUCUGCAUCAGAUUUUUUAAAAGAGAGCUAAGGAGAUUAGCAACUUAAUUAAAAGGGGAUGAGAGACAAAUAAAAAGGUUAGAUUGAAAUUGAAAAAUUCAGGGCAUGGAUUUGAAGUAUAAAAAAAGGGGGAAAGAAAAGAAAAAGAAUAUAAAAGAAAUCUAAAUUUAUGCUGAAAAUAGAGAGUGGACA